GUGAGUGAGAGGGAGGGAUUUUGCGUCGAUGUGACACUGCAGAGUCUGCAUCCAGUGCAGCGGCUGCAAACCCUCUCUGACAUAUUGUCGUGCAGUGGCCUGUGUCCUGUCACCGCAGCUGAGCAGCAGUUAGACAGGUCGAAAAGACGGGUCAACGGAGCGGGGCGGCGAUAAAACAAAGAAAACACUAUGUUGUAAGAGAGAAAGGCAAAACCUGGCACAUCUUCACCGAGGCUGACGUCACAGCUGAAGAAUGAGACGGCUACAACAACCAUCACAAUGGACUACUGUCCCGACUACCGCCCCGGCUACCGCCUCGCUAAUUCCCCCUCUCAGUGCACCGGCAUGUUGGGACACGGACGGAUUUAAUGACAUCAAUCAAGCAAUUAUCUUCAGCCCAGUGGGUGCAAUCCCAGAGACACUGUCACAGAGGAAGACGAGUUUAAUCCUUCGUGUGUUAAAGUUACUACAAACAUCACAGGUGGUUUGUUUAGCCCGUCUCCUGCAGGAGCUUUGUUUAUAGAGUCUGAUUCACUGUUGCAUCAAAUAUGUCUAUUUGUCAUCGUCCGGUAUCGUGGCCUAAUCCGACAAAAUCCUGCCACAGAUCAGCUCAGGAAUGCUGCAGGCUGCACUUCACCCCAUGUGAGGGAGUCUCCCAGCAGCUCUCCUGCCGCCGCUCGCUCAUAAAACAUCACAGAGGUGCACUUGUUUACUAGACAAAACUUGGUUUACGUUGACUAUCCACAUCAGGGCUCUCGGCAAACGUCCGAGUCAGCUGCUGUCGGACAUUCUCCGGAGUUUCCCCCAAGCUAAAACUCCAGAGAGUGUCCGGAUGAGCCCAUGUGAGAAUAAAGCAGAAGAUUAUCAAAGAUCAUCAAAUAUCUCCGGAUGGAAAACAUGAGCCAAACAUGUAAAGACGCUGGACAGAGAUUCGAGGAGCUCAUCUCCGCAGCUGAGAAUCUCCUGCUGCGUUUGUCGCAUGUGAAAGGCAAACCGGAGAAAGUCCCCAUUGUGCGGACAUUCUCUGGGGUUCAUGUCUGAAAACAGCUGGACUUUCAGGAGAUUAUCCAGAAUUCAAUGCGUGCUUAAUAACAAUAAAGUGUUCUUUUACAUA
Hippoglossus stenolepis (Pacific halibut) is the source of this 1114-nucleotide long non-coding RNA. RefSeq lists it as uncharacterized. The record is from RefSeq and is a predicted model, not a curated record. NCBI's taxonomy places the organism in Eukaryota, Metazoa, Chordata, Actinopteri, Pleuronectiformes, Pleuronectidae. The transcript has 2 exons.